CUGGCUUUGGUAGGCAAGGCGGGGGUGGCGGCAUCGUGGAUCACUAGUUCGCUUUAUGCAGCAGAACUCGCACCCACUGUGAUAAGGAACAUAGCAUUCGGUACGGUAUCGAUAGCCUGGCGAAUAGGUGGAAUCGUAGCUCCCCAGUUUCAAUUACUGAAUUCGAUUUCUAUGGAGCUGCCGUACAUUGUAUUUGGUGGUUUGUGCCUGGCGAUGGCCUUCCUUGGCCUGCUCACUCUACCAGAAACAAGGAAUAGACCUCUGCCGGACGCGUUACCGGAAUGGUCAUGUUG
Molecule: long non-coding RNA, 293 nt
Organism: Lingula anatina
Lineage: Eukaryota; Metazoa; Brachiopoda; Lingulata; Lingulida; Lingulidae
Source: RefSeq, a predicted model, not a curated record